GCCAUCGUAGCUCAGCUGGUAGAGCGUCGCCAUGGUAAGGCGGAGGUCCCGGGUUCAAGCCCCGGCGUUGGCU
This 73-nucleotide transfer RNA is filed under the name Patescibacteria group bacterium. Its description in RNAcentral is "tRNA-Thr". It matches the Rfam family "tRNA". Rfam says of the family: Transfer RNA (tRNA) molecules are approximately 80 nucleotides in length. Their secondary structure includes four short double-helical elements and three loops (D, anti-codon, and T loops). The record is from RNAcentral.